Micropterus dolomieu (smallmouth bass) is the source of this 3736-nucleotide RNA transcript. It is a transcript of the gene named swi5-dependent recombination DNA repair protein 1 homolog, with no coding region annotated. Lineage: Eukaryota; Metazoa; Chordata; Actinopteri; Centrarchiformes; Centrarchidae. The record is from RefSeq and is a predicted model, not a curated record. The transcript is spliced from 5 exons.
UUUUAAGCUAAAUAAAUAUAUAACAUAAAAAAAAUUGUAAUUUGGUAUAUUCUUCUUUGUCUGUUUCAGGUUGAAGGACAAAUGUUUGAGGAAAGUCACGGUAUGGAAAAGGCGUGGAUGUACAAUAAUAGGGGCAAUGCACGAAGAAGGGCAUUAAAGACAGUCAGUAAACUGAUUGAAAAUGAGCUGGAUAGGGGAGGGAUGGUGGAUGCCAAUUUAGAGUUAGGUGAUUGUGUUGAUGAUUCAGAAGAAUCUGAGAUGCUAUUUAGUGAUGAAGAAAGUGAUCAGUGUCUUCAUGUUGAGGAAAAGGAAGUAUAUGAAGAGACUUUAGCUUCUGUUGAGGAUCUGCCUGAUCUUGGAGAACAGUGCAGUCAUAGUGAUGGUGAUUUGCGGAGCUCUCUGGCAGAUUGGGCAGUUGAAUUUGGUAUUUCUCUAAUAGCUCUGUCAGCGCUUCUCAGCAUUCUCAAAAUCUACCAUCCCUCUCUGCCAAAGGAUGGACGAACACUGCUGAAAACAAAAACAUGCUACAACAUUAACAGUGUAGCUGGUGGUGUGUUCCACUAUUGUGGAAUUCUGAAUUCUAUCAGGAAAAUUCUAGAUAAAGUGUGGUCUACAGUGCCAGACGGACAUGCUUUUAAACUGCAGUUGAAUUUUGAUGGUCUGCCGCUUUGCAAGAGUACUAGUACACAGUUUUGGCCAAUUCUUGGUAUGUUGCAAAGAUACACCAAGAAACCAAUGUUGAUCGGACUGUUUUGUGGUACUUCUAAGCCAAAUUCGUUGGCCGAGUAUCUUCAUAAUCUGGUUCAAGAGUUGAAAAUGUUGAAAAGUGGGUUUCUGUUCAAGCAGAAAACCUUCUUUGUGAAUGUUGUUUCUGUUGUGUGCGAUACCCCAGCCCGAGCCUUCAUAAGAGGUGUGAAGUCACACACUGGAUACCAUGGGUGUGACAAGUGUCACCAAACGGGUGUCCGCAAAUCUAAUCAAAUGACAUUUCCUGAGGUCAAUGCAAGGCGCAGAACGGAUGACAGUUUUAGGCAAGCAGUAGAUGAGGAACAUCACAUCCAUCACUCACCUCUUGCAGAUGUUGGCAUUGACAUGGUGGCUUGUUUCCCAUACGAUUAUAUGCACCUGGUUUGUCUGGGUGUAAUGAGGCGUCUCUUAGAUUUGUGGAUCAGCACCACUGGUCCUUUGUGCUGUCGCAUUUCAUCUAGUCUAGCUUCCAUGGUUACGGAUAGACUUCUUGCUCUGAAAAAUUACAUUUCCAGUGAGUUUGCUCGAAGGCCACGGGCACUGGCUGAACGAUGUAGGUGGAAAGCCACAGAAUUCUGCCAAUUCUUGUUAUACACUGGUCUGGUUGUGCUGAGGGGUGUUUUAAAACCUCAGAUCUAUGACAACUUCAUGCUUUUGUCAGUAGGUGUGUAUAUUUUGGCCAAAAAGUCCAAAAUAUUGUAUGGAGAUGAACGACCUUGCUCACACUCUGCUGGUUUCAUUUUUUGAACACUUUGGACAGCUUUAUGGUGAAGAGUUUUGGGUUUACAAUAUUCAUGGUCUGUUGCAUCUCAAUGAAGAUGUCAAAAUACAUGGCAAUUUAGAUCUUAUAUCAGCAUUUCCCUAUGAAAAUUUCUUAGGAAAACUUAAAAAAUUGGUUCGGGGGCCAUGCAAUCCUUUGACUCAGGUGUUACGCAGAUUAUCAGAAAUGGAAAAUGGCAGCUACAGUCCAGAUGUUAAAGAGGCAACUCAAAAACUGGAUAAAGAGCAUAUGGGCGGGCCAGUGCCAGAGUGCUUCUCACAACAUGUUCGUCAAUUUAAAGUAUUGGCUAUUGAUGAUAUAGUUGUGAAGCCCAAUGAGAGAGAUUCUUGUAUCAAAGUCGAUAACAAGUUUGUUUUAGUCCGAAACAUUGUUGAGGAUAAAGGAAUUGUGUACCUUGUGGGUAAUGAAUAUAAACAGGUGGAACAUUUCUUUAAAUAUCCAAUUGACUCAAAAGAGUUGGGAAUUUAUGUGGUUUCCAACCUCUCCACCAAUGUCAAGUGUUUUAUGAUUGAAAAGAAGCUACAGAAGUAUGUAAGAUUACCAUUUCGAAACAGAUUUGUUGUUGUUCCACUCUUGCAUUGAAACUAGUAACCCUGAAGUUGCUCUUGUAUUUUAGUUGGCUAUGGAAUUUAUGUAGUCAUGGUUGCUUAUUUUCAGAUGUUUCAUAUUGUUGUCUUUGACAACACAAAUGAGGUUGAUAUUGUGCCUUCAGUCUGGAUAAAAAAUGGAGAGUGCAUGUGGCCUCCAAAUAAAAUUGAUGUGGCAAAAGCUGUAAAAACUCAAGAAUGUCCUGGAGACGGAUGGAUGCCCCAUAAGGCCAGAAUUAUCUUCACAUCACAUGACUACAAUGAAGCAAGGUUUAAACUACCUCAGGCUGUCGAUCACACUGACCUUGGAAGUGACGGAGGGGACUCGCCAAUUAAAUUUAAAAGAAAAAGAAUACGCAAGGAUAUUCUUUUCCCUGGGGAAGACGAUGAAGAGAUGGAAAGCACCCUGAACGUCACAUUGCCCAAUGCUCCAAAGAUCCCCAGGCAGUACAAAACUCCUACAUUAAAGCCAGGGAAGCAAAACAGCCCGAACUUCCAGCCAAGUGGCCACAGCAGUCCUGACCUCCACAGCAGUCCUGACUUCCCACCAAGUGGCCACAGCAGUCCUGACCUCCACAGCAGUCCUGACUUCCCACCAAGUGGCCACAGCAGUCCUGAGCCAAGCCCAAGUCAGCACUACUGUACUUCCAAGUUUCCUUCAAGCUGGCACACCAACACUGAGAAUCAUCCACUGAUGCAUGGCAGCACCGAGAGCCACCGUACGCCGAGGCGCGCCAGCACCGAGAGCCGCCGUAUGCCGAGGCACACCGAACGAUCUAUACUCCCAUCAAGGCACCCCGAGGCACACCAGACCAAGGAGCAGACAGCCAGUCUGCAAACUUGUGAACACGCUCUCAAAGGGGGGGAUUACAAACUCCUUGGCGAAGAAUAUCAACAUGAGAGGAAUAAAUGGAAAGAUUGGCUUUCAGCGCCUACAGAUAAGAGAUGUUGUGAUUGCUGCUGUGAGGCGUAACCGUCUGACAUCUGGGGCCACGGACCAAGAAAUAGAUUCCACCAUCAAAAGAUGGCUUCAUCUGGCUCCGGAUAGGGAUGGUGGCAGGAGGGAGAGGAUGAGGAGAAAAGAGCGUGAAGAGAGCAGGACAGCAGUAAACAAUUUAAUGAACUGAAACAUAGCAUAGACAUGUGUGUAGAGUACAACUGGUUCAUGGACUGAAACAUGGCAUGGAUGUUCAAAAGUUGUUUUUUGUCAAGUGUUUCACAAGUUUACAAGUGCAAAACCGAACUGAAUUUCAGCUGGAACAGCAGGAGGCCAGGACUGUGUUUGUUAUCCUGGACGAAAAGUUGUGUGCAGAGUACAACGGGUUCAUGGACUGAAACAUAGUAUGGAUUUUCAAAAGUUGUGUGUGUUUUACAAGUGCAAAAUCUAACUGAAUUUCAGCUGGAACAGCAGGAGGCUGGAUCCGUGUUUGCUAACCUAGACUGGGCUAAAACACUUAACCUGGUCUGGUGAGUCUGGAUGUUGUGGGAAAUAAAUACCAUAAUUUCUGUGCCGGAGAGAUCCUCACGCCAAACUAUGUUCAAAAAUCUGUAUUUUAUGUACAAGUGUUUUGUACAAGAAUUUCCUAUUUGUCUGUACAUUUUUACAAAUGAGAGGAAGAGA